Molecule: long non-coding RNA, 205 nt
Filed under: Urocitellus parryii (Arctic ground squirrel)
Lineage: Eukaryota; Metazoa; Chordata; Mammalia; Rodentia; Sciuridae
Description: lncRNA (ENSUPAG00010015375.1)
Source: RNAcentral
GUUCCCCCAGCCGGGGUUUCGGCAGAGGCUCGGGUCCUCACGUCCACCCUGGGACUUCCGUUAUGCAGGGCUCAGUGUCAGCCGAGGCUCGGGAAGGGGAAGUGAUUCACCGAAAGUCACCCAGCCAGCCGGUACUAUGUGAUUUCUGCCUUUGUAAUUCUCAGCUUUUACCCAAAUACUUCAGAAAAUGAACAAAUCCCAGAAG